UCGGUCUUGUAAAACGUGUAAUAGCGCACUGCGCAUCCGACGUACACACGCACGCGCAGGUCGGGCUUCUCCCCCCUCCCCGCCCUCUGCCCCCUCUUCCCGUCACAGCCGAAUAACGUUCGCCACAGCAGCGGAAACGAAACUAAUAAAGCAAAGACAAGCAUAAUGGCGCUCGUGGAGCCGCUGGUUGGGCAUCUCUUGUCCAAGUACAAAGAAACGGUCUUGGAGGGGCUCUCGAAGAUUCGCCACACCCUGCAGGUCGGCGAUGAGCAGGCGAAUGAGCUGGCUGUAGCCGUGUCUCAGCGAGAGGAGGCGCUGCAAGCGCUGCGAGCAACCCUCCUCCGCCACGAGUACUUCGUGCCCACGCUGCAGACGCUGACGGUUGUGCUGACGCAGUUGGUCGAACGGGGCAACCGCGUCGCCCUCGCGCGCGAGGUGCUGCGCGGCGAUUGCGCCGCACUAUUCCGCAAAACACUCGCCACGCUUUCCGAUGCCACCCUCACCCAUGUAACCGCCGCACUACAGUUUCUGACGGUGGCCGUGAAGGACGCACCGCUGCUCGUGCUUGCGCGCCUGCGUACCCCUGCCGAUGCACACGCUGCACCUGCAGCCGCCUCCACUGCCUCGAUGAGCCCGCUCGCAGCGGUUGCCACGCAGCGGCGCGCCGAUGUCCCGUUGCACCUCGCCGUCUUUCGCCUACAGCUGACGUACAAUCAACGCCGCAUUCGCCUCACGCGGCUCGGCUUCCUGGUGCAGCUUGUCACGUCACCGAUGCACAACGCCGUCGUCGACACGAUCUGCAGCCACGGCGUCCUGACGCACCUCCUCGAGGACGCGGCCGAGCUCUUGCGCGAGGGCACGAGUGCGGGUAUGGCGUGUGCUCUCAGCGCUCUGCGAGUUGUUCGCGAGCUCUUCGUGCAAAGCCGCCACAUCACAGCGGAGCAGAAGCGCCGCGUCUUGCUGGCGCAGCGCAACGUCUUCCGGUUGCUCGUGCGUGCGCUGGAGUUCGACCAUGUGGCCGACAACGCCGCAGCCAUUCUGUAUGCCAUUGUCGACGAGACCAUUGAAUCACCAGCCGACUACGCCAGCACGCGAGUCGAGUCCCUCGAGGAUCAGGGCAUGCCCAACUACCUCCUCUUCUUCCUGCUGCGCCAGCUGCGGCCCAAGGCGAGCGAGCGCAUGUCGCAGCUUGUGCUGCACAUUCUCCAACGCGCCCCAGACCUCAUUCGGCCUUAUUUCAUUCGGGUCUCCGGCCACCUCGCGGAGGAAGGCAGCUCGCACGGCGUAGCGCCGGCAACGGCGCGGGUGGCGGUUCUCAAUCUGAUGACGCGCACGUUUCUGUGCCCGAUGCCGUACCACCUCGCCGCACAGCAAGUGCGGCUGGAGCCGGUCGUGGCCAAGACGUCCACCUUCUACACCAUGUGCCCUCGUGACGUGGCGGACGAGAUCUGCCCUGCUUGGGUCGCUGAGUACGUGCAUCGCCUUAUCAAUGGCUCCACGAAUCUGCUCAUGCUCGCGCUGGCAAUGCAGCUGACGCAGGCUGCGUUGAUGCGAGCGAAGCGCGUGCUGCCCCUCGUGCUCGCCGUCCAGAACGCCGCGAAGAGAAACAAGAGGGCGAGCACUGCCGGGGACGUAGCUGCUAGCGGUAGCGCCGCAGAGAUGGUCGUCUCGCUGCCCAGCCCGUGCGACUUCACCGAGGCGGAUCUUGACGUUCUGCAGGGCAACGACACCGCCGAGGCGGAGGUGUGGGACACGUACAACGCCCAGGUACGCCACCACCUGCAAGCGGCGCUGCCAAGUCGUGAAGAGUUUUGGCACCGCAUGACACAGCAACUCCACCGUACCCUAGCCGCCUCUGCUGCCGCCCCCACGUCGUCAACCACAUCGCCGUCAUCCGCUGCCACCGACGCGGUCCUCGAGAAGACGCAUUUAGUGGUGCAGCGCAUGCUGCUGCUCAUGAAGAACUACGUUGAAGUCUUUGACGUGCGGGUGCCGUGGCUGAGCGCUGUGCCGCUUUUUCUGCCUGACCUUGCCGGUAGUACCGUCAGCAGCAGCAGUGUUACCCGUGGCCCCAUGACUGCCAACGGAUCCAACGGACACGCUACGGCGGCCGCUGCGCCUGUGCACCCCAUCACGGCUGCCCUGCAGAAGCAGAACGACAUACUCAAGCCGUGGCCAGCAGCGAGUGUGGCGCUCUUGUGUGAGCUUCUCGCCGUCAGCCAGCAGCGCAGGGUGCCCAUGAUGAAGAUGCACCACAUCAAUAUGUCUCAGGCGGUCGGCAUUGGCGAGUGGCCGCUGCUGCUCAGCAUACUCCUCUGGGUGACACACCAUCGGCCGCACAGCCCACCGCGGCAGGAGAGCAUGGAAGCUGUGCAGGAGGCGCGGGCGAUGGGAUGGGCAGCCCAGCUGCUGCUGUGGACCGUGCACAGCGUCACCAUCCACUCUACCUGUACAAUGGCCGAGGCCCAUCUGUGGCUCUCCUGCCUGACACCCAACACAGUGCCAGUCUUCCUGCACGUCCUCAACCAUCUCUUGAUGCGCAGCCUGUCGAAGGUGGCCGAUCGCGUGUCGCACGAGUUGCGAGACGCACAGCACGGCGUUUUGGCGACCGCCGCCCUGCACUUUAUUGAUCGCACGAAGGAGAAGCAACAACAGAAGUGCAGCACCGGUGGCGGCGAGGACGAGGGCGACGGCGAGCAGCAUGAUCACCAGCAGUUGCAGAGAAAGCAGAAAACGCCGAGGGUGGAGUGCGCGAAUAACAACGGCGGCGGCAGCAGCAGCACCAGCAGUGCUAACAUGUGGGGUACCCAUCUGCAGGCCUCCCUCGCCGAAUUCGAGAGCGUCGUGGCUCGCGUCGUGCAUCUGUGGGGAAGGCGCGCGCGCCUCUUGGCACAGGCCGCAGUUGCCACGACGGCGGAGCUGGAUGUGCCGCGGGUGACGCAGCAGGAGUUCAUCGAAGUGCUGAUACUUGCUGACCGGCAGCGGGGUUUCGCAAAGGCGCCACGCCACUACAGGUCGACGUCACAGUCAGUGCACCUUCGCACCUUCGCGUUUACCCUGCACAGCCCUGCUCUGCCGCUUCCGGAAGAAGAUGCAGCGGUAGCCUUGCUGAGUCGGCUGAGCAUAGCCGUGUCCUCGGCAUCGCCAUUGGAUGGGGAAGAGCAAGGCGGAGCCGCGAAACAAGCGCCAAUGAGCACCAGCCUUGUCGAGGAUGUCUGCACAGCACUCGGCAUCGAGGGCUCUCUCGCUGCCAAGAGCAAGGCUGCAAAGGUUUCAACGCCGCCGUGGUUUGUUAUGGGCUCGGUCUGCUGGCAGGUUGCAGGGGUGCUCUUGUCUCUCACCCAUAGCACUGCCUCUGCACCGUCGUCCUGCAGCGGUAGCACGACAGAGGCUGCGCACAAACUCGCCUUGAGACUUGCACGAGCGCUCCUGUCCGACGAAGCGGCUCUGACGGCUCACUUGAGAGCCAACGUCGAUCACGAAGGGUCGCUCACUGGCCUCCUAGUCUUGAUGCUUGCCUGUACUCGCACGCUGUUGCAGCUCAUCUCACUAUGCAGGGCCGAGCAGCAGCAUCUCUGCCUCUCCGUUGACGAGUGCGCGGCGAUGGGCCGCGUGUGCCUUGACGUGUACAGCGGCACUCUCGGCGUGCAAGACCGGCUUAUCUACGCCGUUUGCCUCACCCUCCACUACCUGAGCGCUGCCCGCCACGUCGCGCACCCUGCGGCUGCUAUCGCUGCCACCAUGGAGGAGCGCGGCGACGAGGCUGCAGCAGAGCAACAAGGGAAAAGGCAGCGCUCAGUGGUUGCCAAGUAUCUCUCGUCUGACUGCCACGAAGGUGCCGAGGUGCCGGAUGCGCUCGUGCAGCGCCGCUUCCUGCUGUGCGGCCACACAGCGAGCGCUACACGCACGCCGGAGGUGGAGAUGCUCUCUUGGCACCUCGACACGCUGACCGAAGAGGAAAUGACUUGUAUGGCGCUGCACGCCUCAUCGCGGCUGCACAACUCCAUUCACUUACAAGACGGCAGCAGUGCCGAUGGCGCAACCGACCUGCUCGGUGCCGUGUUUCCGGAGCUGCGCUCCGCCGGCGAUGCACACGUAGCCGACCUCGAGCGGCUGUCACUGGGAAAUGUGUUGGACCUGCGCUACAUGGUGCCUCUCCUGCACCGGGUAGCCUCCAUACCAGCGGCUUUUUCGGCCCACCUGCCAACGGGACGAGUGAUACCAUUGCUGCUGAAGGCGCUCACAUCGAUCGACUCGCAGCUGCGCUCCGCCGCGGCCGCAGCGCUGAGCGCGCUGUACAUACCGAAGGGAGCGCUGCGAGUCGUGGUGAGCGUCGCGCGUAUAAAGCUGGCCCACACGCAGAUGCCCCCCUCCACCGGCGGCGCAGGGAGACGGUCGCAGCAACCUACGCAGCCACGUCGCGCCUCGUCACCUGCUGCGGUGCCGCGUCUUCCCACGCCACUGGCCAUCAUGCUAAUCAUGUCGAUUCGGCCGCUUGGUCGCUACGACGACGUCCUGCACCACCACCUCGUGCACUUCUUGAUGCACCUCGAAUCGGUCCUCGGCACCCCGAUGCCCUUCACCCACUGGGCCAUCACCCCUCCGCUGGCCGCUAUCAGCGUCCCGCUCAUGCUGGAGCGCCAAGAGGCCCUGCAGCUGCGUACCAACAAGCUCGGCGGUGGCGGCAAGAGCAGCGGAGGUGUCACGCAGGCAUCUGCAGCCGAUGUGGCAUACGAGCUGCGCAAGGAAAUUCCACCGCAGCUCGCCUUUCUUCUGCAGCUGCUCCGGCAUGCCUGCGAGGUGCCGCAGGACGGUGUCGCGUUGAUAGAGUCGAAUGGGCUAGAUGGGCUGCUGCUGCUAUGCGAUAUGCUGACAGCCUCCGAUGGGCAGAGGGCGUCGUAUGUUCAGUGCCUCCUCGUCCUCUGCACGCAGUCCGCUGCCCUGACGCGUUUGUUUGCGCGUGCCGGGCAUGUGCUGGCCUGGACGGUGUCCUUCCUGUGGCAGCUGUGCCGCGAAUACGGCAAGGCGACCCCGUAUCCGUACAGUGGUCAAACCUUCACGACCGCGCUGGAGCUGCUGCGCAUCAUGUGUGCCGCCACUGUGCCGUCGAAGACGUCGCUCGCAGAAGCACCUGCCCUCAGUGACGCGGCAGCAGAGCAGCUAAAGGAGAGCAUGCGACAGCUGCGCGCGUGGGUGGUCGAUGCGCACGUGACGGCUCGCGACGUCCUUGACGUCUUUGAUCACAUGAUUGGCCGCUGCAGCCACGCCGCCCACGGCCAGCACAGCGGCGCCGCGGAGGCAGACGACACACACAGCACUGAAGGGGUUGGCAAGGCUCAAGAAGCACGUGCGGUAUCACCGGCGUCGGCCUCACAGCCGUCGUCGCCGUCGUCCUCGGCAAAGCGCCGUCGCGCAACGGCAUCGCGAUGCGAAAGGCACACGCCCCCGAAGCGGAUGCGCACCGAGGGUACCGCCGAAGUCGGGGGCGUGUGAUGAGGGGUCGCUGCAUCACUGUGUCGCCCAUAACUCACACAGGCACACGCACAGGAGUGGUGGGGGCUAUAUGCAUGCCAUUGUCAUCGCAACCACCGGCCACCCCUUUACGGCUUCCAUUCUUCCGAGCUUCAUGCCUGCCUUGCUGUCUUCAGCGACUGCGUGUGGGUGCACGUCUCCGUAGUGUGUUUGCCUGUGUUUUGCCGGCAUGGUUACGCGGAUGAGGUGGGACGGGCAAAGCAUAUAUGCAUAUAUAUAUAAUGGUUGAACGUUUAACGAGGAAGAUGACGAGGAAGCGUGUGUCCCGCGAGUGCGCCCGUGUGCGUGAGUGACCUCCUGUCGUUGUCGUCGUCUCUGUCCGUUGGAUACACGCACAAGGCAAAACAAAAGGGGAUACGUGUACGCAAUGGAAGCCGGAGAGGUAGAGAGCAAACGCCCCGUGCAUAUGAACGUGUGACAGGGGGAGGGGCCCGACGGUGUCGACCGAGGCACUUCAGAUGCGCAAGCAUUCCUAUCCUCCUCCCUCACCAGCAUACGUAGAGGAGCACGUCAUGUGUUUCGGUGUGUGAGUGAGUCGUGGCUGCGGUGCUUGUGCGCAUCAUGCUGGCGUGUCCGCCCCUUUCCAUGCCGUUGUGUGUGUGUGUGUGUGUGUGUGUGUGUGUGUGUGUGUGUGCGUGUGUAGAUGUCUGUCCAUAACCUCACCUCUUGCCUGGUCCCGCCCUCUUCUACGCCCUUUUACGUGCUUUCAUCAUCGUCGAUCACCACGUCCGAGCACGGCUCCCCGACGUGCAGAGCGACAUCGUCGGACUCGAAUCG
Molecule: unclassified non-coding RNA, 6309 nt
Filed under: Leishmania donovani
Lineage: Eukaryota; Euglenozoa; Kinetoplastea; Trypanosomatida; Trypanosomatidae
Description: gene:LdHU3.24.0730(CDS-product:Ribosome_60S_bioge nesis_N-inal_putative)
Source: RNAcentral